AAACAUUUUCGGGGGAAAAAUAUUUUUGGUAUAACCUGCUCCCUGCGUUUGUAAAUAGCUGCCGUAUCUUGACUGUACAAAGGUAGCAUAAUAAUUAGUCUUUUAAUUGGAGGCUUGUAUGAAUGGUUGAAUGUAAAAUUAACUUUUUUGUGAAUAUUUGAAUUUUAUUUAUAAGUUAAAAAGCUUAUUUAGUUAAAAGGGACGAGAAGACCCUAUAGAAUUUUAAAGAAAUUGAAAAAUUUUUUGGUUGGGGUGACAAAAAUUAACUUUUUUUUGUGUCAUUGAUGAAUGAUUUUAUGAUCCUAAAUUAGAUAGUAAGAUAAAGUUACCUUAGGGAUAACAGCAUUAUUUUUUUUUUAAGAACAUAUUUAUAAAAAAGUUUAUGACCUCGAUGUUGAAUUAAAAUUACAUUUAAAUGUAGGUGUUUAAAGG
This 432-nucleotide ribosomal RNA is filed under the name Trioza nigra. RNAcentral describes it as "partial 16S ribosomal RNA". Lineage: Eukaryota; Metazoa; Arthropoda; Insecta; Hemiptera; Triozidae. The record is from RNAcentral.